CACCCACAAACGUCACCGACAUGGGGGGGUGUGGAUAAAUAACACAGCUGAGGAACAUCAUGCCACUAUGGUUUCAAAGAUCGCUGAGCAAUCUCAACCUAGUGUCACACAUCCAUUGUCUGAGGAGCAGAUUUCUAGAGAAGUACUUGGGAAGAGGUCGGUCUUCUUGAAGGGAUACGGGAUCCGCAAGGACAGUACUUCAUCUUCUACACAUUUUGAGGCUCCUAACUCCGAGGUGAUUGUUCUUCAACAGCAGUUAGUUGACCAGCGACAACAAUUAGCUGACCAAGGAAAGCAGUUAGUUGACCAGGCUCAAAACAUGAGUACAAUGCAAACUAUCAUUCAAAUGUUGGUAGCAAAAAAUGGGAUAGAUCUAGCAAACAUUCCGGGGUUAGUUCCAAGCAACAAUGUCGGGGAGGAUGCAUCGAAUGUAAGGGAGGAUGAAACUUCUCUCGGUUGAAAUAGAGGUUGGUGAUGGAUGUUCAUGGCUCAGUAGUGAUAUAUAUCUUUUUGCACGUUGGCAUUCAUUUAAUUUUUCUUUGUUUCGUUUUAUAGGUUUUUCUGUUGAAUGUUUAUAUACUUUUUGGAAUUAUUAUGUUUGGGAUUGUUGGAUAUAGUUAGACGCAUUUUAGGAUUCUUAUGUUUAGUACAGUUGGAUAUUUGAAUAAAAUUUGGGAUAUUGAAAUGCAUUUGAUAUUAAUUUGGUUACAUUACUAAUUGUUAUGAUGUAUUCAGUUUAGUUUUUACGCAAUGUUAUGUAAAGGUUUUUUUGGAAUGUUUUAUAGAGAAAUAUGGGUUGCUUAGAAAUACGCGUUCAGGAAAUGGAUCAAUUAGGGUUUAGGUGUAGUAUGAAUUGCUAAGUAAUAAUAGGUCAUGGGAAGCUAAGAUUGAAUUUGUUUUAGAUGGCUAGGCUGACAAUAUUUUAAUCAUCAGGAAAAAAGUAUAGGGUGUCAAUGUGUCUUAUUGUAUCUUGCAUUUUUUAUAUUCAUUUGCAGUAACUUGUUUUCAAAUUCUUUUUUUGUUCCCAAAAGAA
Non-coding RNA from Camellia sinensis, 1033 nucleotides. NCBI's taxonomy places the organism in Eukaryota, Viridiplantae, Streptophyta, Magnoliopsida, Ericales, Theaceae. The record is from RefSeq and is a predicted model, not a curated record.